Molecule: long non-coding RNA, 460 nt
Filed under: Homo sapiens (human)
Lineage: Eukaryota; Metazoa; Chordata; Mammalia; Primates; Hominidae
Description: non-protein coding lnc-KDM1A-9:1
Source: RNAcentral
AUGGCCAAGUCCAAGAACCACACCACACACAACCAGUCCCGAAAAUGGCAAAGAAAUGGUCUCAAGAAACCCCGAUCACAAAGAUACGAAUCCCUUAAGGGGGUGGACCCCAAGUUCCUGAGGAACACGUGUUUGCCAAGAAGCACAACAAGAAGGUCCUAAAGAAGAUGCAGGCCAACAGUGCCAAGGCCGUGAGUGCACGUGCCGAGGCUAUCGAGGCCCUCGUAAACCCCAAGGAGGUUAAGCCCAAGAUCCCAAAGGGUGUUAGCCGCAAGCUUGAUCGACUUGCCUACAUUGCCCACCCCAAGCUUGGGAAGCGUGCUCAUGCCCGCAUUGUCAAGGGGCUCAGGCUGUGCCGGCCAAAGGCCAAGGCCAAGGAUCAAAUGAAGGCCCAGGCUACAGCUGCAGCUUCAGUUCCAGUUCGGGCUCCCAGAGGUGCCCAGGCCCCUACAAAGGCUUC